UACGUAGGGAGCGAGCGUUGUCCGGAAUUACUGGGUGUAAAGGGAGCGUAGGCGGGAAGGCAAGUUGGAUGUGAAAACUGUGGGCUCAACCGACAGACUGCAUUCAAAACUGUUUUUCUUGAGUGAAGUAGAGGCAAGCGGAAUUCCUAGUGUAGCGGUGAAAUGCGUAGAUAUUAGGAGGAACACCAGUGGCGAAGGCGGCUUGCUGGGCUUUUACUGACGCUGAGGCUCGAAAGUGUGGGGAGCAAACAGG
RNAcentral lists this ribosomal RNA (253 nucleotides) under uncultured Eubacteriales bacterium. RNAcentral's name for it is "partial 16S ribosomal RNA". It matches the Rfam family "Bacterial small subunit ribosomal RNA", at positions 524 to 776 of the family's 1533-position model. Lineage: Bacteria; Bacillati; Bacillota; Clostridia; Eubacteriales. The record is from RNAcentral.